AGGGCACUGGCCCCAGGUGCGGCGACAUCAGUGUCCUGGGGCUGCUUUUGAAGGACAAUGCUCUCCUGGAUGGGGAGGCGAGGAGCGAUGCUGAGGGGGAGGGGAGCCAGGAUGCAGAGAGCUUCUCACUGAGCACCUGCUCCGUGUCUGACCUCAUGCUGAGACCUGGGAAGGGUGCUGGGAUGGAGACAGACGUGGUCCCCACCUUCCUGGGGCUGGUGUUCUGGUCAACAAGAUGGGGACGACCAUCAACUAAACAACAGGUGAAAUGGUGAUGCAGCGAGGGGCACGCAGUGAAGAGCACGGACCGGGGCCACACAGAACUUCGCCUCCUCACUCACUCUUCCCAACCAGCCUAUUUUUACGAGAAGCUCCUCUGAUGAGUUCAUUUUACAGCCAAGAAACCUGAGGCCCAGAGAGGCAGGUCACUAGCUCCAGCCACAUGCCUGGAAACUGCAGAGCCAGGAUGCAAGCCCACAGCUGGCAGACACGACAGCUGUGGCUUGUCCCCCUGCCAUCCCACCCCUCGCUCGGUGGAUGAGGAGCUCUCCGUGGGCGAGGGGGACUCUAGUCCACCUUGGGGACCAAAGAACGGCUGCUUCCCUGUGCAGGAGGGGCUGUGGGGUCACGUGGCCCCAGGUCGCAAUUCUGCCUCCUCCGCUCACUUGCUGCAUGGUUCUGAGUGUGUUUACUGAUUCUCUGCCUCAGUUUCCUCUUCUGUAAAAUGGGAACGAUAUUGUCCACUUUGGAUGGCUGCUAUGAAGAUCAAAUCAGAAAAAGAUAUAAAGUGCCCAGCGUAGUCUAAAGCAGAGAGUAGGUGUUAAAAAUGUUCUCUGAGCACACAGUAGGUAUUUUUAAAGUUUGUUCCAUUUAUUCGGAGAAGGGCCUAUUUCCCCCAUCUCAUUUCAGAAGGUUUUUUCUUAACCACACAUGCAGGUGGAGGGAAGAACCCGCUGCCCAGAGGUGGGAGGAGGCUGAGGCUCAAACCCCAUGCUGUGCGGCUCUGUCAGGCUACUGAGCUUCUCUGACCCUCGGUCUCCUCAUCUGUGAAACUGGAACAUGACCCCCCUUAGAGGGCUGUCGUGAGGGUUGAAUGUGGUGACGUAAGUUGAGGGCCAAGUGUGGAGUUGGCAUAGAGUGGGCACUAAAUACGCCAGCUGCUUUGUUUGGAGAAAGGGCUUCUGUUCUGUCUUUGAGCCCAGAGACUUUUCUGGGUUUUAAAUGUGUGGUGAGACAGGAAAAGCAAUGAGGCCAGAAGCUGGAGGAUGCCGUGACGGGACUCUUUCCUCUGCCUUAGGCUUGCUGUUCACCUUGGGCAAGUCACUGCCCCUCCCUGACCCUCUGUCUCCUCGUCUAUAAGACGGAAAAUGGUGCUUAUUCCUAAACUAGAAGCCUUGGCGGGACCCAGUGGCCCGCCCAGGACACCCUAAAAAGGAAGGCAGAAUGAGGGGUUCUCCCUGCCAGGCCGAGUGAGCAGCCCGGAUUGAUAUGUGGAGAACUAACAGGCUUAUUUGGGAUGCACGGAAGGCUGGAACACUUAAUUCCUGAACAUGUUUACGUAAAAUUAAUUGCAUCACCUGUUCUCUGCAUCUUUUAAUUGCAAAACCAAUUAAGUUUCUAACGCUCAGCUUGCAGCCCAGGGGAAAGAAGGGCAGAGGCGAGGUGGCCUUUGCAGGCUCUGCACUUUUUCGGUGGCCACAGUGGCCCUGCGAGAGCCCCAGCAGCCCCCUAUCUGCUGGCGGGGGAGACCCCGUGGGACGUUGGAGGAGCCCAGAAGACAGACACGAGACUUGGAGCAGCGGGUCUGCGGGGGUCCCGGGUGGCUGCCCUCACGGCGGGAGCUGAGGGUCCAGGUCAGGCAGAGGCAGGACGUUCCCCGGUGGGGGCCACAGUGGGUCCACAUCAACUCCCCCUCCA
RNAcentral lists this long non-coding RNA (1917 nucleotides) under Equus caballus (horse). Its description in RNAcentral is "lncRNA (ENSECAG00000045216.1)". The record is from RNAcentral. Lineage: Eukaryota; Metazoa; Chordata; Mammalia; Perissodactyla; Equidae.